GACGAUCUGUAGCGGGUCUGAGAGGAUGAUCCGCCACACUGGAACUGAGACACGGUCCAGACUCCUACGGGAGGCAGCAGAGGGGAAUUUUGGACAAUGGGGGCAACCCUGAUCCAGCCAUGCCGCGUGAGUGAAGAAGGCCUUCGGGUUGCAAAGCUCUUUCGGCCGGGAAGAAAUCGCAUGGGCCAAUACCCUGUGUGGAUGACGGUACCGGAAUAAGAAGCACCGGCUAACUACGUGCCAGCAGCCGCGGUAAUACGUAGGGUGCGAGCGUUAAUCGGAAUUACUGGGCGUAAAGCGUGCGCAGGCGGUUUUGUAAGACAGGCGUGAAAUCCCCGGGCUUAACCUGGGAACUGCGUUUGUGACUGCAAGGCUAGAGUACGGCAGAGGGGGGUGGAAUUCCACGUGUAGCAGUGAAAUGCGUAGAGAUGUGGAGGAACACCAAUGGCGAAGGCAGCCCCCUGGGUCGAUACUGACGCUCAUGCACGAAAGCGUGGGUAGCAAACAGGAUUAGAUACCCUGGUAGUCCACGCCCUAAACUAUGUCAACUAGGUGCUGGGUGGGUAAAACCAUUUAGUACCGUAGCUAACGCGUGAAGUUGACCGCCUGGGGAGUACGGCCGCAAGGUUAAAACUCAAAGGAAUUGACGGGGACCCGCACAAGCGGUGGAUGAUGUGGAUUAAUUCGAUGCAACGCGAAAAACCUUACCUACCCUUGACAUGCCAGGAACUUGCCAGAGAUGGCUUGGUGCCCGAAAGGGAGCCUGGACACAGGUGCUGCAUGGCUGUCGUCAGCUCGUGUCGUGAGAUGUUGGGUUAAGUCCCGCAACGAGCGCAACCCUUGUCGUUAAUUGCCAUCAUUUAGUUGGGCACUUUAACGAGACUGCCGGUGACAAACCGGAGGAAGGUGGGGAUGACGUCAAGUCCUCAUGGCCCUUAUGGGUAGGGCUUCACACGUCAUACAAUGGUCGGUACAAAGGGUUGCCAAGCCGCGAGGCGGAGCCAAUCCCAGAAAGCCGAUCGUAGUCCGGAUUGCAGGCUGCAACUCGCCUGCAUGAAGUCGGAAUCGCUAGUAAUCGUGGAUCAGCAUGUCACGGUGAAUACGUUCCCGGGUCUUGUACACACCGCCCGUCACACCAAGGGAGCGGGUUCCGCCAGAAGUAGGUAGCCUAACCGCAAGGGGGGCGCUUACCACGGCGGGGUUCGUGACUGGGGUGAAGUCGUAACAAGGUA
RNAcentral lists this ribosomal RNA (1232 nucleotides) under metagenome. Its description in RNAcentral is "bacterial SSU rRNA". It matches the Rfam family "Bacterial small subunit ribosomal RNA", at positions 275 to 1498 of the family's 1533-position model. The record is from RNAcentral.